This is a non-coding RNA of Hyaena hyaena (striped hyena), 539 nucleotides long. Lineage: Eukaryota; Metazoa; Chordata; Mammalia; Carnivora; Hyaenidae. The record is from the annotation of a RefSeq genome assembly.
CCCAGCCCAGGAGCCCUAGGUUUUCCCAUUCUGUGACCAGGACAGAACGCAGACAUCUCACCAUGGAGUUUGUGCUUCGCUGGGCUUUCCUUGUUGCUGUUUUAAAAGGUGUGCAUUGUGAGGUGCAACUGGUGGAGUCCGGGGGAGGCCUGGUGAAGCCUGGAGGGUCCCUGAGACUCUCCUGUGCAGCCUCCGGAUUCACCAUCGGUAGCUACGAAAUGUACUGGGUCCGCCAGGCUCCAGGGAAGGGGCUGGAGUGGGUUGCAUACAUUUAUAGUAGUGGAAGUAGCACAAGCUAUGCAGACUCCGUGAAGGGCCGAUUCACCAUCUCCAGAGACAACGCCAAGAACACAGUGGAUCUACAGAUGAACAACCUGAGAGUCGAAGACAUGGCCACGUAUUUCUGUGCGAGAGACACAGUGAGGACUUUAAUUCCUCAAGACUUUAACAUUAUUAUUGAUUUAAAAACUUGUUGUUCUUACAUUUCCAUUACAGCCAGAAGACAAAGAAAAUUUCACUUUCAUUCUCCUUACUAUUAA